This 1281-nucleotide ribosomal RNA is filed under the name Heterotarsus carinula. RNAcentral describes it as "16S ribosomal RNA". The stretch from base 1042 to 1200 matches the Rfam family "Archaeal large subunit ribosomal RNA", at positions 2542 to 2701 of the family's 2987-position model. Lineage: Eukaryota; Metazoa; Arthropoda; Insecta; Coleoptera; Tenebrionidae. The record is from RNAcentral.
UUUUAUAAAAUUAUUUUUAUUUUUUUUAUGUUUUAGUUUAUUAGAAGAAUGUUUAUUUUUAUUAAUUUUGUUUGAAAAAAUGUUUUUUAUUAUAGUUCAUAGUAUUGUGAAAGAAUUUUUUAAAAAUUUUAAAAGAAGGUUUACUUUGCCGUACCUUGUGUGUCAGGGUUUAUUAAUUUAUUAAUAAAUUUUUAUUUUUCCCGAAUUUAGAAGAGCUAUGAUUUUAUAUAUUUUGCUGUAGAAUAAGCAUUUUUAAUAAAAUUAUUGUAAUGAAAUGUUAGUCGUUUCUAAAUAUAUCUGGUUUUCAAAGAAAUUAAUUCAAUUUAGCUAUUAUUUAGGAUUAUUUUUAUUUUUUAAUAUUUUUCUUUUUAAUAUGUAAUAUUUAAGGGGAUAAGCUCUUAAUUAGAAUGUUAAAAAAUUCUAGUACCAAAUUGAUUUGUAGGAUUAGAAUUUUCCAUCAAUUAUAGGAUGUUUUAAUUAGUCUUUUAUUUAUUUGAUUUUUAUUAUUUUUAACUUUUUUAUUUGAAUUUAAACUUAAAUUUUUUUUGUUUAGUAAUUAUGAUGAAAUUAGUAUAUUUUUUUGUAUUUUUAAUUUUUGUGAUUAAGGUUUAAUUAAGGAACUCGGCAAACUUAAUUUUCACCUGUUUAUUAAAAACAUGUCCUUUUGUUUAUGAUUUAAGGUCAGGCCUGCCCGAUGAUUAUAUUGAAUGGCCGCAGUAUUUUGACUGUGCAAAGGUAGCAUAAUCAUUAGUUUCUUAAUUAGAAGCUGGAAUGAAUGGUUUGAUGAAAAAUUGACUGUCUCAAUUAAAUUGUUUUAGAACUUUAUUUUUAAGUUAAAAAGCUUAAAUUUAGUAAAAAGACGAGAAGACCCUAUAGAGUUUUAUGUUUUAGUAUUAAUUAAUUUUAAGAUUUUUAUUUUUUUUAUUAUUAUUAGCAUUUUGUUGGGGUGAUGAGUAAAUUUAACUAACUUUAUUUUAUUUUUACAUUGAUUAGUGGUUUUAUGAUCCUAUAUUUUAGAUUACAAGAUAAAAUUACCUUAGGGAUAACAGCGUAAUUUUUUCUGAAAGUUCUUAUUGAUGAAGAAGUUUGCGACCUCGAUGUUGGAUUAAAAUUUAUUUUUGGUGUAGCAGCUAAAAUAUUAGGUCUGUUCGACCUUUGAAAUUUUACAUGAUCUGAGUUUAGACCGGCGUGAGCCAGGUUGGUUUCUAUCUUUUAUUAUUUAGAAUAUUUUAGUACGAAAGGACCAAAUAUUUGAAUUAUAUUUUUUAUUUUGAUUAUUAU